This is a non-coding RNA of Equus caballus (horse), 1530 nucleotides long. The record is from RefSeq and is a predicted model, not a curated record. NCBI's taxonomy places the organism in Eukaryota, Metazoa, Chordata, Mammalia, Perissodactyla, Equidae.
AACUGCCUGUCAAGGAGUUCUGACUUCCAGCCAUAGGCAAACAGAGUCAAAGAAGGGUUUUGUGAUCAAAGAAGGGAAUAACGUGAUCUGAGUUAUGCUUUUAAAAUGUUUCUUGGCUAGCCAUGGGGAAGGCUGGGCCGCAGGAGAGAGCCUGGAUGCGCAGAGACAGGCAAGGGGCUGGCACAGCAGCUCCCACUGGGGGAAGGAGGAAACAGAGCUGGGACACUGAUGUGCUGGUGAACCAGCUUCGAACAUGAAAAUGAGGAGACCCCUCCUAGGAAUGGUGGAAGAGCAGGACAGAAAGAGCCCGGGCUCCUGGCUGACGGGUGGACCGCAGACGCCUGCCUCCCCUGGGCUGCCUUUGUAGCUCCAAGCUAGCCAGUGAAGGAGCUUGUCUGAGCUGCUGCUGUUGGUGAAUUUGAGGGGAGGGUGUCUUUUGUUACAGCAGCUAAGCCUGGAUCCUAAGUACCACUAUACUAAUACUUCUGGUGAGAAUCAAACCUGGGACAAGGCCAACACUUAGGGGAUACAAGUGGGAAAAGUGGAGACAAAAACAAAAGAAGUGAACUCCCAUAGAAUCCAAGGAAGAGAAUAAAGAAACAAGAGGGCAAACAGCAUUAAAUGUGCAGAAAGUCCACAAAAACAAGGAUCAUCGAGAGACUCUGAUUUCGCCAGUAUUUCAACAGAUUGAUAGGGCCCUAAAUUAGGCACGGGACCUUACACCAGGAUGGAGUUCUAUGAUGACUCCCCUCUCAAAGAAGCUUUCUCCCUGUGGUCACCAGCUGGCUGCACUGCACCUCACAUCCACCUGACUGCAAGUGCAGGGGAGAAGAACAAAAGUCUCUUUCUGAGAAGUCCUGACAAUUGCAUCUUGUUGGUUCUUAUUUGGUUGCAUGUCCACCCCUGAACCAAUCGUACUAGUCAGAAGAAAGCAAAGCUGAUUGGUUGUGUGCCUUGGGCAAGUCACUUAACCUCUCUGUGUCUCAGUUUUCUCAUUUAUAAAAUGAGAAUAAUAGUAGUACUUACCUGAUAGGGUUGUUAAUUAAAGCUUAAUUAAUUAUUAAGGCCUAAAUAAAUUAACAUUUAUGAAAUACUUAGAACAGUGCCUGGCUCAAAGUAAGCACCAUCCGACUAUUUAUUGAACAGAUAUUGGGCAGGCCUGAGUCACACGUCUCCCAUUGUCAUCCCCUUAGACCACAGUGGCCAUGUGUGGGAGGAACAGCAGGUGAGGACAAAGGGGAAACGGAUCCCAGGUAGGCAAGAGACCCAUGUUCUCUGGAGGGCUGGAAAGGCAGGAGUGAAGGACUCAUGGUCGAAUGUGGUGGAAGGAUAGACGGGGAGGAGGAGAGGAGCUUGUGAUCAGAAGGGGACACAGGAUUGGAGGCCUUAGCAAUGGUCAGUUCCAUGCUGCAGAGGAUCCGAGAGUGGGUAUGUUUUGGGUUACCGAAGUAGAAUUGGGAGGUAAAGACAAACUAUAAGGCCAGGUUAUCAAAGAUUUCUCUGUGACAAUCUCAGGAGACCAAUAGCAAU